GUCGAACGGCAGCACGGGGGUAACCCUGGUGGCGAGUGGCGAACGGGUGAGUAAUACAUCGGAACGUGUCCUGUAGUGGGGGAUAGCCCGGCGAAAGCCGGAUUAAUACCGCAUACGCUCUACGGAGGAAAGGGGGGGAUCUUAGGACCUCUCGCUACAGGGGCGGCCGAUGGCAGAUUAGCUAGUUGGUGGGGUAAAGGCCUACCAAGGCGACGAUCUGUAGCUGGUCUGAGAGGACGACCAGCCACACUGGGACUGAGACACGGCCCAGACUCCUACGGGAGGCAGCAGUGGGGAAUUUUGGACAAUGGGCGAAAGCCUGAUCCAGCAAUGCCGCGUGUGUGAAGAAGGCCUUCGGGUUGUAAAGCACUUUUGUCCGGAAAAAAAUCCCCUGGGAUAAUACCCCGGGGGGAUGACGGUACCGGAAGAAUAAGCACCGGCUAACUACGUGCCAGCAGCCGCGGUAAUACGUAGGGUGCAAGCGUUAAUCGGAAUUACUGGGCGUAAAGCGUGCGCAGGCGGUUCGCUAAGACAGAUGUGAAAUCCCCGGGCUUAACCUG
Molecule: ribosomal RNA, 560 nt
Filed under: uncultured Burkholderia sp.
Lineage: Bacteria; Pseudomonadati; Pseudomonadota; Betaproteobacteria; Burkholderiales; Burkholderiaceae
Description: bacterial SSU rRNA
Rfam family: Bacterial small subunit ribosomal RNA
Source: RNAcentral